AAAAAAAUUAUUUUGUGUUACAGUGAAUUUCCUUUAAAUCAGGCAAUGUCUGUUAUUCUUUGAAACACGAAACUCGACUGCGACAUGGCAAAGGAACGCGGAAUUGUCGCAGAAAUUUUAUCUUUAAAACAUUUCGAGAAGGAACUCAGUUCACGUUUGGCGAGAUUUUCACUAGUUUCUAGACAGUGCCUUUGAGACACAAAGACGUUGAUGGUCAGCGGUAAUAUACAAGAACUUGAGGAUAAAAAUCACGAGGAAAGCGAUUUGUUUGAAAAGUACAUCAGCAACGAUGAUAUUUUGGAUGGCAUCGUAAGAAGAUGGUGGACGAGAUUACAAGAAUGACUUACCAUCCAGGUAUACUUGCUAUCAGACUUAUGGCGCGUGCAAAUAUUUGUUGCACAAAUAGGAUAUUGUGUCCCACUUAUCCGUUUGUAACCGUUACAUAGCAGAAAUUGUGUCCCCAAUGAUUCGUUUGUAACCUUUACGCAGCAGAAUUUGUAGCGUUGUUGGUGUAAAUCAUCGGUAGCUUGAGUUGAAUAACAAAACAUAUUUGUUCAUUUAAACACGAUUUUUAAAAUCUUUACUUUGGAGGAAAAAAUUGCGUUUUGAAAUUGCGUUUUGAAUCAAGUUUCAAAAUAUAGAAAAAAAAUUUUUGCCGGAAAAUUUCGAACACUCGUUCUGUAUCGUCGAAGUCAUUGAGACUUCAGUGUUUACUACUGGCGUAACGGACUUCUAAGUCGCAAUAACCUUAUUUUCUUGCGCUUGGUUGAAAAAUGAUGCAGUUGUUUAAAAAUAAGUGUCAUUAAUUAACAUGAUGUCACGUGACUUCAAGUAGAUGUUUGCCAAGAUGCUUAACACUUCGGUGAAAAUGGCUUUUAUCAAACUGAAUAAAAUACAAUGAAAAAAAAUACAUCGAAUAUUUCAUAAA
Molecule: long non-coding RNA, 928 nt
Organism: Xenia sp. Carnegie-2017
Lineage: Eukaryota; Metazoa; Cnidaria; Anthozoa; Malacalcyonacea; Xeniidae
Exons: 2
Source: RefSeq, a predicted model, not a curated record